CUGUGAUUCCUGCGAUUUCUGCGACUUACCACCAUAUGAAAAAGUUACAUCUGUCAACACAGAAAAUUGCAUCUCAACAAACCUGUCAUUGGCAAGUACCUGAACUACAUUUCAGUCACUCAGUAAAGUGAUAACUCAAAAUAUCAUUGUCAACAGAUCUGAAGAAAUUGCCACUGCGUCUUUAGACCGUUUUUGUCAGACGAGAGACACAGUUCUGACUCUGAUUACUGGUUGCUGUACGUAUCUAUCCACAUCAAGGCUGUUUUUGAGAGAGACUCGUGAAGAUUCAAGACAGCUCUUAGAGGAUUUGCAGUUUAAAAGUG
Long non-coding RNA from Schistocerca cancellata (South American locust), 323 nucleotides. RefSeq lists it as uncharacterized. The record is from RefSeq and is a predicted model, not a curated record. The transcript has 3 exons. Lineage: Eukaryota; Metazoa; Arthropoda; Insecta; Orthoptera; Acrididae.